UGGCGGCGUGCCUCAGACAUGCAAGUCGAACGCGAAAGAAGCCUUCGGGUUUCAAGUAGAGUGGCGUCCGGGUGAGUAACACGUAGGUAAUCUACCUUCGGGUGGGGAAUAACGCAGGGAAACUUGCGCUAAUACCGCAUAAUGCAGCGGCACCACAUGGUGACAGUUGUUAAAGCGGGGGAUUUUCGAACCUCGCGCCUGAAGAGGAGCCUGCGGCAGAUUAGCUAGUUGGUAGGGUAACGGCUUACCAAGGCGACGAUCUGUAGCCGGCCUGAGAGGGCGGUCGGCCACACUGACACUGACAUACGGGUCAGACUCCUACGGGAGGCAGCAGUCGGGAAUUUUGGGCAAUGGGCGAAAGCCUGACCCAGCAACGCCGCGUGAAGGAUGAAAUCCCUCGGGAUGUAAACUUCGCAAGAAUGGGAAGAAUAGACGAGUACUAAUACUGCUCGUGAUGACGGUACCAUUUGUAAGCUCCGGCUAACUCCGUGCCAGCAGCCGCGGUAAUACGGGGGGAGCAAGCGUUGUUCGGAUUUACUGGGCGUAAAGGGCGCGUAGGCGGCCAGCACAAGUCAGUUGUGAAAUCUCCGGGCUUAACUCGGAAAGGUCAACUGAUACUGUGCGGCUAGAGUGCAGAAGGGGCAACUGGAAUUCUCGGUGUAGCGGUGAAAUGCGUAGAUAUCGAGAGGAACACCUGCGGCGAAGGCGGGUUGCUGGGCUGACACUGACGCUGAUGCGCGAAAGCCAGGGGAGCGA
Molecule: ribosomal RNA, 756 nt
Filed under: uncultured Acidobacteriota bacterium
Lineage: Bacteria; Pseudomonadati; Acidobacteriota
Description: bacterial SSU rRNA
Rfam family: Bacterial small subunit ribosomal RNA
Source: RNAcentral